This 506-nucleotide ribosomal RNA is filed under the name uncultured bacterium. RNAcentral describes it as "partial 16S ribosomal RNA". It matches the Rfam family "Bacterial small subunit ribosomal RNA", at positions 28 to 523 of the family's 1533-position model. The record is from RNAcentral.
GAUGAACGCUAGCUACAGGCUUAACACAUGCAAGUCGAGGGGUGACGAGAGGAAAGCUUGCUUUCCUUGUCGACGACCGGCGCACGGGUGAGUAACGCGUAUCCAACCUGCCCCCAACUAGGGAAUAACCUUGCGAAAGUAAGACUAAUACCCUAUAAUUUCCUCAGAUGUCAUCUGACGAGGAACAAAGAUUUAUCGGUUGUGGAUGGGGAUGCGUCUGAUUAGCUUGUUGGCGGGGUAACGGCCCACCAAGGCAACGAUCAGUAGGGGUUCUGAGAGGAAGGUCCCCCACAUUGGAACUGAGACACGGUCCAAACUCCUACGGGAGGCAGCAGUGAGGAAUAUUGGUCAAUGGGCGGAAGCCUGAACCAGCCAAGUAGCGCGCAGGAUGACGGCCCUAUGGGUUGUAAACUGCUUUUAUACAGGAAUAAAGUUAGCCACGUGUGGUUAUUUGUAGGUACUGUAUGAAUAAGGACCGGCUAAUUCCGUGCCAGCAGCCGCCGUAA